GAGAAGUCUGGAAUGAGAAGGUUUGGAAAAGCUGGAUCAGAACUCAGCACUGCAAUGCUCUAUUGUUGUUGCAAAGAUUUGACUACAAGUGCUGGCUUUGGAACACGCUCAGCAUUUCCCACCCAGCACUUCCUCUUACCCUCGUCUACUUUGGGAGCGACAUGGUUGCAAAGGGAAAAGUCCAGGACAUUUUAAAUUUCUGUGUUGUUGCUGACUACGUAGAAACCAGAGAGAGUAAUUUUCGCAGAGGAACUGAGGCAAGACUGCCAAAUCAUUCCACAAGUCGGCCUCCAACUGCAGCUUCAUCCGUGGAGUGUAAAUAACAACGUGGAAGGGUCUCAGCCGAUGAAUUGUGCCUGUUCUUCAGAAGCAACAUGUCCUCAGCGAUCGUUUCCUCUGUCACGUGAGUCACAAUACCUGCAAAGAUGCUAGAAAUGAGCUCUCUAAGUGUGUUACGUUUGUCUUGUUUGAGCUUUGCCUGUGGCCUAUUAACAGUCCCUUGGAGUUGUCAAAGGAGCAAUGCCAAUUUACAUUAGUUUGGAACAGUUUAUACAAACGGGUUAAUCUAACACUCUGAAUCCCGUGCUUUGAAUUUUAACAGCAACUUGGUCUUUGCUCACUGAUCUGCUCUUUGAGACAGACCAAACCUCAUAGGAAACCAAACAGCACAGCCAAAGCCUCUUUUAUUAACUGAGCUUAUAAGUUAUUUUGUCCUUUAUAGAAAGAAGUGUUUUCUAAUGUGCUGUGAAUUAAUAUAAGUGAUCACAUAUUGCUAACUACAACAUUUCACAGAUCCGACUGCAUUUAAAAUGUUGACUUCUGCUUUGUUUGGAGAGAAGAAAAAACAGGGUUUACAUUUAAAUUUCUUCAACCAUCAGGCUGGGGAGCAGCCCAGUAGAAAAGGACCUGGGGGUUCUGGCUGACAGCUGAACUUGAGCCUGUGUGUGCCCAGGUGGCCAAGGGCAACCUGGCUUGUACCAGUAACAAUGUGGCCAGCAAGACUAGGGCAGUGCUGGCCGCUGCUGAGGCCAGACCUUGAACCUUGGGUUCAGUUUUGGGCCCCUCACAACAAGAAAGGCAUUGAGGCGCUGGAGCGUGUCCAGAGAAGGGAACGGAGAUGGGGAAGGGUCUGGAGCACAAGUCUGAUGAGGAGCGGCUGAGGGAGCUGGGGGGGCUCAGCCUGGAGAAAAGGAGGCUCAGGGAGGACUUUAUAAGGGUUAGAGGGGCAGCUGAACAAGGGGUGGCUGAGGUCACUCGUUUUGUUCAGCCUGGAUGAGACCAAGGGGAGCCCAUAUCGAGGUCUGCAGCUUCCUCAUGAGGGGCAGAGGAGGGGCAGGGACUGUUCUCUCCUCUCUGGUGACCAGCGACAGGACUUGAGGGAGUGGCAUGAAGCCAUGCCAUGGGGAUUUAGAUUGGAUGUGAGGGAAAAUUCCUCCACGGAAAGGGUUGUCCAACCCUGGCAGAGGCUGCCCAGGGCAGCGGCGGAGUUACCAUCCCUAGAGGGAUUUAAGUGUGUGGAUAUGGCACUUGGGGACAUGGUUUAGCGGUGGCCUUGGCCGUGCUGGGUUAACGUCGGUCUCCGUGAUCUCAGAGGGCUUUUCCCACCUCAACAAUUCUAUGAAACAACACACGGCGAGGGGGGGGGAAGGCGGGGGGGAGCUGAGCGCUGCAUCUUUAUCACCGGAGUCGCUGCAGCGGCAACACCGAGGGAUCCUGGGGACUCGCUGAACCCUCCCGGUUCCCGCGGGCGGCGGGGCGGAGCGGAGGGGCCCGGCCCGGG
Long non-coding RNA from Neopelma chrysocephalum (saffron-crested tyrant-manakin), 1780 nucleotides. RefSeq lists it as uncharacterized. The record is from RefSeq and is a predicted model, not a curated record. The transcript is spliced from 3 exons. Lineage: Eukaryota; Metazoa; Chordata; Aves; Passeriformes; Pipridae.